Molecule: long non-coding RNA, 6312 nt
Filed under: Gallus gallus (chicken)
Lineage: Eukaryota; Metazoa; Chordata; Aves; Galliformes; Phasianidae
Source: RNAcentral
GCCAACUUCAAACGCGGGGCUGGGGCGGCGGCGUCACUUCGCGUGCGUGCGUGCGUGCGUCACGUGGUAGGGAGGGCGGGACGGCGCCGCGCUGAGGGGAGGCUGUGCCCCGCCCGGGCCCGGCCCUGAGGGGAGCGGGGCGUUAUCCGCAGCGCCCGAAGUUUUGCGUCCGUUCCGCGUCCGCUGGGGCAGGAAGCCGCCUCAGCUAUAGGAACGGGGAAGGUGUGGCAUGAGGCCGGGGUGGAGUUAGUGCCGAGGAGGGGUUGGGAGGCUGAAGGAUCGCUGGGUUUUGUGAGUUGGGUGAGGAGCUGAUAGGGCUGCCUUGAAUUCGAGGGAAACCUCCGGGUGUUUUUAUAAAUAUCGACGAGUUGGCACUUGAGUGGAACGCGCUCAGAGUUACCUCAGCGCUCAGAGUUACCUCAGCGCUGGUAGAGGCGAGCUGAGGGCGAUUCCUCUGAGUCCCGUUUUUAUUUUCCUACCAUUAAAGCAUGCAAAGUGAAGCUAGGUUAAAAUUUGAAUGGUUUAAGGUGCGUUGGAAAGAAGUUAUUUCUUCCUACUUUGACACACCCUACAGACGAGCUCAGAGAGAAGGCAACUGAAAGAGACCCAAAUGCCGCCCUCCUGCCAGGCUGGGCAGUUCUGGGGCUCUUAUAUUUGAGGCUGGUCGCAAAUUCCUGCUCAGGUAUUUCCCUUGUGAGGUAUCACAGCAGAGCAAAAGCUGCUUGGCAGCCCAGCCUUCACCCCAACCUGCUUGGCAAGUGACAAAACUAUCAGACAGGCACAGCAUACAUUAACAUGUGUAAACUUUGCCCUUAAAUCCCAGCCUGAGCAUCACUCCUGCUGUGGAGCUGUGCCAUAGGAAUGGGAAGAGCUUGCCAGUCUACUGUGGAGGAGAUGAUGUUAAAGCCACACAGAUGAGGUUAUUCCUAGGAGUUCCAGGAGCAGAGUCAUUUCGUCCCGACGUGCAGCACCCUGCCUGCCCUGACAGAAGGUUGCUUUCCUGCUCCAAUCUCUGCAGCCAAGGCUCUUACGAUGCACCUCCACUAGCAGCCCCCUACCAAAACAGAACAACCCAAGAGCCUGAGCUCCCUGGGACAUCUGGGUCCCCUGCAAGUGCACAGUGGGCAGGCAGAGCCAGCAGGAUAAGAACAUGAAGUCUGAGGCAGCCUGACAAAGGACUGUUAGUAAGGACAGCGGUCCCGGAGGCUGCGAGCUGCUGGGCUUUGCUAAGAAACCCAUCGAGAUGGUGCUGGCCCCAGGGGUCCUUGCUUCUGCUGGCUGUUGGGGCAUUUUGCUGCUUUAACCUACUCCUCUCUCAGAACUGUGAGGGCUGCUAAGAUGAUUAAGAGCUUGGAGCACCUGCCAUAUAAAAAAAAAGAGCCUGGGAGAAUGGAGGCUUGGAGCGGUUCUUAUCCAUGUCUCUCAACACUUGGUGGUGGGUAAAGAAGAGAGACCAGUUCUCCUUAGUGAUGCCCAGUGACAGAAUGAGAGCCAUACUGAUAGCAAAAUACAGGAGUUCCAUUUAAACUAAAGAAAUGUUUUUUCUGUGAGGCUGGCUGAAUACUGGAACAGGUGGCACAGAAGUGUUCUGUCAUCUCCAUCUUUGGAAACGGUCCUGGGCAGCCUGCUUGAACUAACUCACGUUGAGCAGGGGGGGGGAAUGGAAGGCCAUGUUCAGAGGUCCCUUCCCAACUCAAUUCCACAAUUCCUUGAUGCGUUGUGGCUUGGUAUCGCUGUGAUGAGACAUACAUGGUCCUACCAUUCUGACUUCCAGCCAUUGCCUCCCUUCUCUGGGGCAGGUCAGGGCUUCCCUGUGCUGAGCACAGCUCAGCUGUGACCCUGCUCUGCGCAAUGCAUUGUGGCGCCUUAGCGAGGCUUCCCAUGCCCUGCAGCCCAGGUUUGGCAGCAUCAUGGUAACUCUCACACAGCUCAGGGACAGUGAAAACUCCUUCUGCUGCUAAAAGAGAUAGCUGCUGUACUGCUGGUAAAAGCAGAAGGUUGAUCCUCACCUGAGAAACACCCACCCAGCUUUCAGUCCAGGGAGACACCCCCAGGCCAGAGCUCCCUGCCCCUUGGCACAGGGGCUGAACACCCACGCAGCAACACCGACGCUCAUUAAAGGUUUACUUUUAUUUCUGGUUUAAAAUCAAAAUUAGUCAUUCUCUGUAAUUACAUUAUAUAUAGAUUUAUAGAGACAUUAUAGAAAAGAAUUUGUCGCUUUUUUUCUGCAAAAAAAAAAAAAAAAGAAAUCUGUAAAUAAAAAAUAAAAUAAACAACAAGGAAAGGAAAAGGUGGCAGUGUCCGUCUGUCCGUCCCUCUGUCGCUCCUCCUGCCCCUGCCCUCCACAGCACUCCCCCGCAGAGGGGAAGGGCUCUGGGCUGGGGCUGUGCCUCACUGCGCCCCACCGCCGGGGAGGGACAGGAGCAUGCGGAGCUGGAAAGAAGAAAUGCCAGCAGAAUAUAUUAAUAUAUCUCAUAUCUCAUUUUAUUUAAGUCCUGCGGACUUCCAGGUGGCAAAAGGGCAGCGGUUCCCUCCCAGCCCAGGCGACUUCUGGAAAGAAACAGCAUCGCUUCCAAAGUGUGGGUCCUUCCAGGAAAGGGCACGCGGCCCGAGCAGCAGGAAGGCAAGAGGCGGAGGAAUCCGGUGCGUCUCCCUGCCGCUCCCAUCCCAGCAGCUGUAGCACGAAGGGUGGCUUCCCUGUGUGUUUUCAAUAGCAGUCGAAGGGUGGGGUGUGCAGCGAGCCCCUCCUCGCCCAGGGGUGGGUGCGUGCGUGGCACCCCGCGUGGCUGGUGCUGGGGGCAGGGGAAGCGGUGCUCCGUAAGGCAGUGUGCGGCCGCGGCGAGCUGCCGGCGGGGGUGAUGCUGCAGUGCUGCUGUGAGCAGGGCCGUUGGCUGGGCCCAGUCUUUGCGAGCCCACGUGCAGCUCAGCAGUGCCUUUGUCCUCAAGGGGUAGCGGGUGGCUCUGUGUGGCUUCUCAGAAAGCUGUGCUGGCCAUGCUGGCUGGUGCAAAGAUCCGCGGGAGGCUGUCCAGGGUCUCCUCCAGUCGCCGGUGCGCUGAUUUGCCAUCUUCCCCUGUAAGCACGUGCCACAGUCAGCGAAGCCAAGGGCAGCAGCUCUGUUCCCUGCCCAUCCCUGGCCACCUUCCCUGGCCUUGCAACAGAAAUGAUACUAAUGCCUGACAGAGCCGAGCCAGCGUGGUACAGCCACAGAGCCCUGUGGCACAGCUGGCUGGGGAGGUGGGGGAGCACCCGAAGAACCAUGGAGAUGAGGCACUGGAGGUGUGGGCAGUGGGCAUGGUAGGGCUGGACUUUGGGAUCUGAGAGGUUUUUUUUUCCUAACCUUAAUGGUUCUAUGAUUCUUGUGUUCUCCAUAGCACACCCUUGAACAGAUCCCAUCUCCAAAAGCCGGCAGAGCUCCCAGUCCAGGAGCUGGGGCAAGUGGGCGAGGCCCAGGGCUGUGCCAGGUGCAGCAUGCCAACCAGCUGUGCACUUCUGCAUGCACCUACAUGGGGACCCCAAGAGCUUCCCAGCACCCCCGCGUACACACAGGGAUGCACACUCCAUGCUGAGAGAUCUCUGCCCAGCAGCCCUGCACACAGAUCUGCACGCAGCAGCCAUCCCCAGCAGAGCUGGUGACGUGGGACACAGGACACGUGGCACCUAUGUGCGCAGGCAUUGCCGCGGGGCUACGAACAACCAAGACACACAGACUCCAAAAAGUGACGUGGCUGACAGGCUCUAAGACAGAGACAUUUGUGAGCAAAGCAGGAGUGGGGCUGAGGGACGAGGACAGCUCACAUGUCCCAACCUGUGCAGCAGCUGCCGCGGUCUGGAGGCCUAGAAACCCAACUCAGAUGGUUCUCUCAGUGCCAUCUAGCAAAUAAUAAAUAACACCCACGCUUAGGGCUGUGCCCGCAGGAAUCCUCGCUGCCCACCACCGCUCUCACCCCACACAGCUGGGGCACCGUAAGCCGGAGCAUGGGGCAGGCAGGGAUCAGCCCAGGCCCCUAUCUCCCUUGGGCAGUGUGCCAUGGGGUGAUGCAGGACACUCACCACACAGCAUCAGGCUCUGCUUGGCUGCCUCCCGCACAGGCUCCUUGUCGGUUUGGCACAGGUAAACCAGCUGCUCGAUGCUCUCCUUGGCCUGCAGGAGAGGGAAGAGGGCUGAGUGUGGUUGGUGCCAGCCACGUGGAUGUGACCCACUGGGGAAGGCAGCAAGGUUCCUGCAGCCCUGCAGUAGGUUGCAGGCAGGGCAGACCCCCAAGCCCCCAUCGGAGCUCAACCUCCAGACCAGCCCUGGGCAGAAAAAGUCACGGAAUCAUAGAAUCACAGAAUGGCUUGGGUUGGGAGGGACCUGCAAGAUCAUCCAGUUACAACCCUAAAGUCCCUUGGCUGUGUCCCCUUUCCCUUCCUACUGUGCCCCAGCACAUUUGGGGCACCCCUAGGAGCUGAAGGCUGCACAGAGACAGCAGCAGGCAGCAUCAGUUCCUCUCCACCCACCCCACAGCCAGCUCAGCCUGGAAGCAGAUACCCCAUGUGCUCCUUCGUGCACCCAUCUCACCUUGAGGCAGCCCAGCGCCACGCAGCCGGCCACGCGUGUCUGCACCUCCUCAUCCUCCAGCUGUCCCAGGAAGCACACGAGGGCCUGGGGCAGAGCGAGGGCUCAGUGCCACCACUUCAAGUAGCGACCCAGAGCCCACCUCCCCCCCUCCUGCCCACAGCGUACCCGUUGGCGGAAGCGGGGGUUUUCCGCCAGGCUGCGGAGCUGUGCCGACACGGCGCUCACCACCUUGCUGUUUCCUUCCACGAGCAGCAAGCUGAGCGCCUUCAGCCCUUCCUUCUUCAGGCGGCCCUCGGGCACACGCUUCAGUGCCCGCAGCACCACAUCCUGGUCGUCUGAGUUGAGGUUCUGCGCCAGCAGCACUGUGGGGACAGCCCGGUGAGCUGAGCAUCUGUGGGGAGCUCAGCCUCCAGCCACAGCAGUCAGAGGGAUCCCACAAUAGGAUGCUGGGGGCGCUGCCCCGCUGCUGGGGUACCUGAGCUGGAGACCUGCAGAAAGCAAGGUCCAAAGGGUGCCCCAGGAUGGGAGUGUAGGAAGGGGCUGAGCACAAGCAAUGGGGCAGGGUGGGCGAGCCUUUGGGUGGGCGAGCCUUUGGGUGAUACCCCACAGUGCUGUACACCCUACAGCCUCCAGCUCAGGGCACGGCAGAAGGGCACCCACCUUCCUCUGCCAGCUCCAUCACGUAGGUGUCGAGCACCAGGGCACCGAGGGCCUCGAAGUGGCUCCAGUACUGGAAGAUGGUGACCUGCUCACCCUGGGUGCCACCGGGUCGCCGUGGCAGCCGCCGGUUCAGCACAUCUUCCACCAGCUUCACACAUACUGUGGGAAAAUAACGGGGUCAGGGCAUGCAGCACCUCGUAGGGUCGGAGAUUCCCUUCUUGCACGUCCACACCUGCACACCCUCACCUGCAUCAGCCAGUCCUGGGUGCCGCUCACUGAUGGGUGCUGCGUACUGCGCACUGAGCACCUGCAGGAACCGCUCCACGGGGCAGGUGUAGAUGUUGGGCAGCUCCACGCAGUGGUCCCAAAGGGGCAGCACCCCUUCUUUCCGUGUUGAGAACUGCACCACUGCGGGGACAGGCGGUGUCAAGCUGCACAUCCAGCUGGCACAUCCCUCCCGUGCAGCCCCUUGCUGCCCUUACCUCCGGCAGCAGAGCCCGCUGCUUCCGACCGCUCCUCCAUCAGUUGGCACACGAUCUCCAGCACCUGCGCCUCCCGCAGCAGCCUGUCCAGGGCGAACAUCUCCCGGCACCUCAGAGGCCCAAAGGUGCCCAGGUUCUGUGAGGCACAGGUAUGCCAGUGACCUUAAGGACAGCACAGCACCCAGACCCCAGCACAGCCACAGCAAGGCAUCUCGGAGGGUCUUAGGGGGGCCAGAAACUGCGAGGAGCCAUGGCCAGCCCCAGGAUGUGUCCCACUAUUGCAUCCCACUCCCUGCAGGGAGCCUUGGCCAACCCCACCACGUGUCCCCGCAUCGUGUCCCAGUCCCCAGUCUCACCAGCAGCAGGUGGUUGCAGUUGUGGAGGUGAAGCACCAGGGCCUUAUCCAGGAACUCACUGCCGGUGCUCAUGGGGUCCGCGCUGCCCUCAGAGCCGCUGCACGUUCCAGUGUCAUCCGCUCCCACCUCACCAGCGCUGGCAGCCCUGCUUCCACGCCGUGCUCUGCUGGCCCUCCUGCAAACCAGCAAGAGCUGGAUCAGCACAGGGCACCCGAACCCAGCCCUUCCUUUCCCACCAGAGCUCAGCACCCCAAG